UCCUUAUGCAUAUUUCAUAUUUUUAAAAUGCAUUUACAGAAAUCAGAUUAAAGCCAACAUAAUAUCUGCAUUUUUUUUUUCCAGAAGAGGACAAGGAAAAGAAAUGGGUACAAAGAGGACAAAAGCUGUAUUUCUCACAUGCAAACAGGUUUUUCUGUGGAGAAGGACAUUCUAAUUCCCAAGAAGUCAAUUAACAAUGGACUCUCAAAGAUCUUCGCAAAAAGGCUCAGGGUAGCCCCACUAUCUGGUAAAGCUGUUUAACACCUACUGUAAAGACGUCUAGGGAAAUGGGAUACUAGCAACCAAGACAAGUUUGAGGACACGUAUUUGUCCGCAUCACCAUGGGCAGUUCCACUCUGCUUCCAGAGGAGGUUCCAUGCUCUUUCCUUCUAUGAAAGUACCUUUCUCUCUUGCUUCUCAUGAAUCUGGGGAGGUACACAUUCUUAGUGUACAAGAUCAGGUUUGACUUAUGUAUUCCCUUUGCUGUCUCAAACAAUAAACCAAAAAAAAAGUUUUGUUGAAAAAUUAUUUUCUCAAAUAAAA
Molecule: long non-coding RNA, 543 nt
Organism: Leopardus geoffroyi (Geoffroy's cat)
Lineage: Eukaryota; Metazoa; Chordata; Mammalia; Carnivora; Felidae
Exons: 3
Source: RefSeq, a predicted model, not a curated record